UGGCGAACGGGUGAGUAACAUAUCGGAACGUACCGGGUAGCGGGGGAUAACUGAUCGAAAGAUCAGCUAAUACCGCAUACGUCUUGAGAGGGAAAGCAGGGGACCUUCGGGCCUUGCGCUAUCCGAGCGGCCGAUAUCUGAUUAGCUGGUUGGCGGGGUAAAGGCCCACCAAGGCGACGAUCAGUAGCGGGUCUGAGAGGAUGAUCCGCCACACUGGGACUGAGACACGGCCCAGACUCCUACGGGAGGCAGCAGUU
This 257-nucleotide ribosomal RNA is filed under the name uncultured Neisseria sp. RNAcentral describes it as "partial 16S ribosomal RNA". It matches the Rfam family "Bacterial small subunit ribosomal RNA", at positions 96 to 355 of the family's 1533-position model. The record is from RNAcentral. Lineage: Bacteria; Pseudomonadati; Pseudomonadota; Betaproteobacteria; Neisseriales; Neisseriaceae.